UCCUAUCGUAUGAUCAUUAAAUGUGAGACUAUAAAAUACGCCCGGCAGUAGAUAACAUAUGUAUCAUUCCUGCAACGAUUGUGAGACAGUCAUAACGGUGCGAUCAGGCAAUGAAGGCGACAACGCUGUUCGUGUUUUCUGCAUUUCUUCUUGUGUUCCUGGUUUUGAACGAAGCGGACGGCCACCGGAGACGGUGUCCCCGUAACUCAGAGUAUAGCAGCUGCGGUACUGCGUGCCCCGAAGUGUGUGGGGAACUUCCACCGACGCGUUGCAAUGCGGUUUGCGUGAGUGGAUGCUUUUGUAUCGACGACUACAUCUUGGAUCCGUCCAGGCGCCGUUGCAUUCUCAGAGACGUGUGUCCUCUUCUCCUUAGAUGAAUGUGCGUGUGUGCGCACACCCCCGGCGCACCACUCAGGCACUUUCUAACAACCUACACAUGUUGUAUUACCGGAAUAAAUAGUGUGGCAACCACAAACGUACAUUUUCAA
Molecule: long non-coding RNA, 488 nt
Organism: Ornithodoros turicata
Lineage: Eukaryota; Metazoa; Arthropoda; Arachnida; Ixodida; Argasidae
Exons: 3
Source: RefSeq, a predicted model, not a curated record